RNAcentral lists this long non-coding RNA (1339 nucleotides) under Taeniopygia guttata (zebra finch). RNAcentral's name for it is "lncRNA (ENSTGUG00000025140.1)". Lineage: Eukaryota; Metazoa; Chordata; Aves; Passeriformes; Estrildidae. The record is from RNAcentral.
AGAGCACCAAACGUGGCCAGAAGGAGCUCUGGCAGCGGGAAAGUGCCAAAGCAGCAGGACUGGCCCCAGCUGCUCUUCCCAGCCCUCAUCCCACAGCCUCUGUGCCCAUCCCUGUCGCCCUUGGACACCACAUGAGCACACAGGAGCUUGGGGAGCUGAAGAGAGAAAAAGAGCAAAUUUUAUUUCUGACCUCGCAAUAUAUAGAGUUCCAAAAGUGGCAGUGGAUUGGAGGAUGGAAUUGUUACUUUUCCAACCACACUGGUCAAACCAACAGCCCAUCAAUUCUCUCCUCCCACAGAGAAGAAUGCAAAACAAUCAUUAUUUACAUCAACAGUGCCUGAGAACGCCAGUAGAGAUAUGUAACCAUUAUCAGAAGGCUGAAGGAGUUUUAUGAGAACUUUAAAACUUUCAAAAGAGCUAUAAAAGAAACUUAACACUUUUAAAAAUUAGGGCAACACAUCCCUGUCCUGCUGCUGUUCCAUGUUCACCCUCAUCCCCUGGCUCUGUGACACCAGCCUGGCCCCACAGCCUGCAGUGGGAUUUUUCCUGAGCAGGGCUUUGCCCCACAGCCUGCAGUGGGGUUUUUCCUGAGCAGGGCUUUGCCCCACAGCCUGCAUGGGGUUUUUCCUUUUCCCUGCUUGAGGCAGAGCUCUCCAGGCAAGCCUCACAGCCCAUCCUUACCAGGAACCCUUCUAAUCCGGGCUCACAAGACUUUUCCAAGUGCUUUUGUGCUUUCUGACUCUAAUUCUGAUUCUUCAACAAUUCCACAAACCCUGUGUUGCUCAUUUCACUUCAAGUGCAGCUCACAAAUUAAUGGUGUGUGUUAAUUGGGCAGCUAAUCCCCCUCCCAGAAGAAAAAAAACAACCUUAAAAAUUAUCAUAAUGCUUCCCAUUUUUGGUGCUGUGCUGCAAACGUGUUAAAGAUAUUUUAACAAAUGAGAGGCCUUAAUUAGAGCAGAGUGAGCCCUACGGUGCCCUGCACAUAAAAGACACUUGUGCAGGAUGGAAAAAGGAAGAGUUGGAUCCUUUCAAGGCAGACCCUUUCCUCAACCCUCCACCUCAGCCUUUUCCAUAAAGAAACCCAGGAUCCUUUUCAUUCUAAGCAUAGACUUUAAAUUCCUACACCCAUCUCAGGGCAGUAUUAAAUAUUAAAGUCGGAUAUUAAAUUUUCAAGGAACCUAAAUGAAACCUGAGGUACUCAAAAAUAAGUGUUGUUGAAUAUUUAAUGGCAAAGAUUUCGUAAUUAACUUUAGAAAUCUCUCCCACCAAGACAGAGGAGGGCUGCCCAGUGAAAUGUGACCAUCCCAGUGACCUUCCAGGGGCUGCAGCAGGUGCCCCC